GAGAUAUGAUGAUUUUUACAUUGGUCCGUGUUUCUGAUUUACCGUGACCGACAACCUUUUCCAAUUUCUGAUCUC
This is a small nucleolar RNA of Lupinus angustifolius (narrow-leaved blue lupine), 75 nucleotides long. It matches the Rfam family "Small nucleolar RNA SNORD18". From Rfam's summary of the family: U18 is a member of the C/D class of snoRNA which contain the C (UGAUGA) and D (CUGA) box motifs. It is encoded in introns of ribosomal protein L1 in Xenopus and human, and in introns of elongation factor 1 beta in yeast. NCBI's taxonomy places the organism in Eukaryota, Viridiplantae, Streptophyta, Magnoliopsida, Fabales, Fabaceae. The record is from Rfam.